Acanthosepion pharaonis is the source of this 113-nucleotide non-coding RNA. The record is from the annotation of a GenBank genome assembly. NCBI's taxonomy places the organism in Eukaryota, Metazoa, Mollusca, Cephalopoda, Sepiida, Sepiidae.
UUACGGUCAUAUCACGUUCAAACAUCGGUUCUCGUUCGAUCACGAAGUUAAGCAACGUUGAGCCUGGGAACUACUGAUUUGGGUGACCGCCGGGGAAAUAUAAGUACUGUAAG